GGGACAACGCCAACACUGAAAUCUGAGGAACACUUGGCUUGAAAAUCCACUGUACCUGCAGUAUCCAGCCCAGCAGCACUGGAAUAACAGGUAUCGAUCUGGAGGGAUAUUCAACAAAAAUCUUCACACAAUAUGAUCGUUGUAAACUCGUACUGAAUGGAUUGGCAUUGAGAGACUGAGGGGAGUGGGAUGUCGUGACUGAGAUCCAGGAACAACGCCAACUUUGAAAGCUGAGGAACACUCGACUCGAAAAUCCACUGUACCUGCAAUAUCGAGCCCAACAGCAUCUGGAAUAGCAGGUAUCGAUCUGGAGGGAUAUUCAACAAAAAUCUUCACACAACAUGAUCAUUGUAAUCUCGUACUGAACGGAUUGGAAUGAGAGACUGAGGGGAGUGAGAUGUCGUGACUGAGUAAAUGCUCUCGAGGGGAUCCACACUCUGCAAUCUCCCAUGUCUCCUUACUUCAUUGAAGAGCCAGGGAGAAUACGGACUUUGGAAUCUGUGGAACAUUCAACUGAAAAAUCCACUGUCCCUGCAUCAUCAAGCCCAACAUGAUCUGAAAAAGCAGUUAUCAGUCUGGAGGGGAUAUUCUAUAAAAGACCCGGAGACGUCACACGAGGGAUCCGAGGAUCAAUGUAGUUGAGACUCCAAUUGGCGUCCAUCCUUUGUCACAGUCGGAUCAACAGGCUCAGGGCAGUAAAGCCACUAUUCCCAUCUUCUCGGUGCAAUUUAUGGAUUGCAGCGGUUCAAGAAGGUAGCUUACCACCACCUUUUCAAGG
Long non-coding RNA from Carcharodon carcharias (great white shark), 778 nucleotides. RefSeq lists it as uncharacterized. Lineage: Eukaryota; Metazoa; Chordata; Chondrichthyes; Lamniformes; Lamnidae. The record is from RefSeq and is a predicted model, not a curated record. The transcript has 5 exons.